Long non-coding RNA from Zonotrichia leucophrys gambelii, 3705 nucleotides. RefSeq lists it as uncharacterized. NCBI's taxonomy places the organism in Eukaryota, Metazoa, Chordata, Aves, Passeriformes, Passerellidae. The transcript is spliced from 4 exons. The record is from RefSeq and is a predicted model, not a curated record.
AUAAAAUGUUGGGCUAAAGAACAAGUAGGGCAUCUGCUUGAAGCCUUCUGAAGUGGUGUUGCUCUGUAUGGGCUGAUGCUUAGAGCCUUCUGAAAUUCAGCCCUGUGUGUAUGGACACACUGAAGACAUUUUGAAGGGAAAAGAAGGCAGUCAGGAAUGAAGUUCAGUUAUUUAUGGUGAGCAGAUGGAUUUAGAAAGUCUGCCUGCUGAGACAGAGGCAUGACUCUGCAAAUCAGGUUAUACUGAUACUUACCUCCAUUUUCUGAGGCUCCGUAUAUAUGAUUUAUUCAUGUUAAGCUUUCUGGACCUCAGUAAGAAUUUUUCCCAGCCCUUGGCUGUGCUCUCCCACCCUGUUGGCAAUACACAGCUGUGAUCAAUACUCCGUGUUUGUGUUUGCUGGGGCACUUUAACUGCGGGGUCAAGCACUUGUGUGUGGAGCUGGUCCAUGGACAAUGAGUUUCCAUUGCUGCAACAGCCAUAAACUGGAAAGAUACUAACUUGCCGUCAGUUGUACACCCUACUGCACAUGCUGCCUAUGCCAGUGACACCUGGGAGCAUGCUGAUAGCAUUUCUGUUCCUUCCAAACAGCACCUUGCCAUGCAUUUGCCCAUUACUUAGGAGAGCUGACCUCCCAUGCCUUGGGCAGCAAGUAUUUUGCUCAGUUUGCUGAGUGUAGGUCAGUUGCUCAGCUGUAGUUGUUUUUUGUUUUGGUCUGGUCCCAGGAAACAGAUUUUUCUGUCCUUCCCCUUGAUGCAGAUGGAGAAAGACAAGGCAGCAACACCUUCCAAUAAUUCCUUUUCAAAACACAUGUAUUUUUACAAGAAGUCCCUUUUAUCCCAGCAUAAAAGAUUAGUCCUAUUUGUAUUCAGUGACAAAAAGUCCAAAUAAAACAGGAUAGCAAAACAGAUGAGACAGGAACUUUUUCUAUCUGCCAGUCCAAAUGUUUGCUCUUUCAGGUAUGUCCUCCAUAGAACCUCUUAAAUGAACACAUUCAGCUGCAUUUUGAUUCUAGGCAAGUAUUUUAUUCCCCCAUCUACAUAUGGAAAGCUGUUUCCAAAAAUCAACCUUCUAUUUAUCAGAAAAAUUUGUGCCUAGCACAUAUCAGUUUGUCUUGCUGCUGAACCUCACCUUGACCUCUUCUGUGAUGUUUACAUUUCUGUGAGCAGCUGGUUGCUUUCUGACCCUCUGUUUUUCAGGGUGCUAUGCACAUUCCCUGGAGCAAUAUGCUUCCUUUGUAGUUAGAGAAUUUAAAUAAAUCAUCUAAUUUACAAGCCAAGUCAGAACUUAGGUAGGCUGAAUGACUGGAGGUGACCAUCUCUUUCCAUUGACUACAGGAGACCCUGGUGACUGUGCUCCAAUUUUGUGUCUUUUGUGAAGUGCCUGAAGUUGGGCAGCAUGAAUCUGGGCUUUGGUGCUGUUGUUGUCUCCUGACUGGUCCUGAAGUCUUUCUGCACUGGUUCCCAUGGCACUUCUUCUUUUUUGAACAUGGAUGACCAGUAUUCCAAAUGAAUUCUCCUAAGUGUCAUUGAUAGCUUUCAAAUCUCUGUCAAUUGGAAGUACCCUGUCUGAAAUAGUUUGCCAUUAUGUUUAUUUCAAACAGGUCUGAAAUUUGUAUUCUAUUUCCUUCCUCCCUCCCCAUGAUGUAGAGUUCAUUAUCACCCUAGCUGACACCUGAAAUGCUUUUAAAUCCUGAAAUCUGUGAUGUUUCACCAUGGGUUAUUAAUUCUUACUUUAUUUCUGUCAUCCUGGAUUUCAUAGUCAAAUCUUCCUAGGCAGUAUUUAAAAGCUCCUUUAGAAAGGUACCACCUUCCAAUUUACAUGGCAAUUUUAAGUUCCAUUAACAACCCCUUGUUUCUGGUGUCCUGGUAAUUAGUGGCAGCAUUAGGGUGCUUCCCCUGAAGAGCAAGAAAUUCCUGUCAGAAGUCCACAUUUUUGCAUAGUUGCAUAGUCACCCACUUGUUGCUUAUACAUUUGCCAUGCUGCUCAAAUAGUGAGUAUUGAAAGGUGUUGUUUCUUAAUCAUAUUUCUGUUCUUGAAAUGGAGGGAAAUGUAACAAUAAGGCUGUUACCAUCUACCAUGUAACUGCAGUUCUUUUUCCAUUCCAUCAUUGGCAACUGCUGCUUGUUUGAAAGAUUAUUUAAUUGCUGCAUAUAUGAAAGGUGAUUUCUCACUGCAAGUCACACUAAAGCUGUGGGGACCUGCUGAAGCUUAUGUUCCACACUCUGAAUGAUAUGCAGACUUGAUGCUUCUCUUUGCACUGAAAAUUGAAUAUAUGAAGAGUGGUUCAUUGUUGGAGUCCGCUGCUGGAUUACAGAGUGCUGAUUAAGCAAGAUAGGGAGAGACUUGUCAAGGGUCAUUUCCAAGGAAGGGAGAGCUGGUCUUUUUCUGUGGUAUCAAAAGAGAUGGUAGCUACAUGGCUUUUGUUCUACCAAAGUCAAAGCAUGGAAGUACCAGGCUGUAUGCCUUAUGGUUACCUCAAGUUCAAAAUCCUGGCACCUCCCAUAUACUUCUGCAUUCCUGUCUUUCUCUUCCCCACAGGAUGACUGUGUAACUCCCUUCUCAUCUCUCUAUUCACUGUAUCCAAGCUCUCCCUCCCUCCAGGCCUUGUAUCCCUCAUGCAUCUGGGUGCACUUUUCCUUCCUCAAGUGAUUCAGUGUCCCUUGUAUCCUCUUCCCUCAGGAUGGCCACCAUGAGUCUCCUUUCUUUCAUCCUGCUUCCCUUCUCUUUCACAGAAUUAUUUGAAUAUUUGGAACUUAAACUGGGAAGAUUGAUAUAUUCUCAAUGAUUUCAUCAAUUUAUUUUCUCAGAGGUGGGCUAUUCCAGCUACUGUUGGAAGUGCUAAAAUGCAAACUAGAGGCUCCAACUGCUGCUUUCUGGUUGACUGGUCUCAGAACCAGGCAAUUCCUGCCCAAGGAUGUCUGUGAUAUUCUUUCAAUACUCUGUAAAUUAUUGAAUGCCAAGUUGUACAAUGACCCUAUUACAGGCAAACAUAAAUAAGCAGGCAUGACUAUGAAGGAUUUUUGAGGGCCCUGGCUUCAUCUCCCAAAGGUGAGGACUCAAAAGCUGCAUUGCCAUUUCAAACACUGAUGUAUAAAAUUAAAAGAACCAAAUUGCCAAUGCUAAGUAGUCACCAUUUGCUCAAAGAGGAGCUAUACAGAAGAGCUUUUACACCAAGAGGAGGAAAGUAUGUAUCCAGCAGGAGUUGGAGAGCUCUUUGCAAAAAAGAAUACUCUCAGAUGCAAAUAGAGAAAAGAGCAGAAAUAGGAUGCAACCCAUAUGAAAAACUACUGUGCAGUCUAUGGAGUGCAGGGGAUGUACAGUGCAAGAAUGUUUAGAUUUCCCAGUUACCGUCAAUGCUGGCCAAAAAUAAUGACUCAUUCAAAUGUGCUUAAGAGCUGCAUUUUAAAAUUAAGAAUCUGGACAGACAGGUACUGACAUGGAAAUGUACACAACAGUUUGUUUAAACAGUGUCUUUCACAACCAGCUACGCAGUGCCACGUGACAAGCCACAAUGCUUUUGCCACGUCAGUUGCCUAUGCCACAUGUCCCAGCUUUGUCACCUUGGUGUGGGUCCAUGCUCAGCAUGCCCACUGCACUGAUGUGCCUAUCUGCCACACAUAUCUCAUCUACUCUGAAGCAUUUUUCAGACCUGAGGACACAGAAGAACAAACUCUUAGGGCACCUGAUGUCCCCAUUCUUUCAAUG